ACCAAAAUUGUAAUCCAAGUAACUAAAGUAGCUGGAACUGCAACAGCUAAAGCUGCUACCAUAGACAAAACCCCAAAAGCUACACCUAAUAAUACAGAUGCAUAUAAAGCAGGCCAACCAGCUGAAGCUGAAGCUGUUGAAUUUGACAUAGUUGAUUCAUACCAAGAAAGUACUGUUUUAAGAAAAUUCCAAGAAAUUGAUAAUAAAAUUGUGUAAACAGAAACAAAGAGAAAUACCCAUGUUCUUCUUUUGUUGUUGAAUUUGACAUCGUUGAUUCAUACCAAGAAAGCACUGUUUUAAAAAAAUUCCAAGAAAUUGAUAAUAAAAUUGUGUAAACAGAAACAAAGAGAAAUACCCAUGUUCUUCUUUUGCUCAUGAUUUUUAUGAGAAACGUAGAGGAGAUUAUUGAUUGAUUUUCUCGUUGUUGUAAAGGUUCUUCCUGUUUGGUUUCUGCCAUUGAUUGUUUUUGGGUUAUACGAUUUGAUGGCUUUCUUGGACUUUGAUUUUUCUCCAUAUUGCUUUCUAUUUUCUUCACUUUCUGCCUCGUUUCCUUUUUACCUUUUCUGUGUUGUUUUGGUUUUGAGGACAGUUUGGUAAACAAAGGGGACAAUACUAGAACGCUUCUAUUUACCCACACGAGGCAUGACGCGCUUUUACUGCGUGGUGUCAGUG
RNAcentral lists this long non-coding RNA (672 nucleotides) under Nicotiana benthamiana. Its description in RNAcentral is "long non-coding RNA (NBEN_LNC007420)". Lineage: Eukaryota; Viridiplantae; Streptophyta; Magnoliopsida; Solanales; Solanaceae. The record is from RNAcentral.